This 480-nucleotide ribosomal RNA is filed under the name uncultured bacterium. RNAcentral describes it as "partial 16S ribosomal RNA". It matches the Rfam family "Bacterial small subunit ribosomal RNA", at positions 28 to 507 of the family's 1533-position model. The record is from RNAcentral.
GACGAACGCUGGCGGCGUGCUUAACACAUGCAAGUCGAACGAUUAAGAAAAGAAUCGAAGCUUCGGCAGAAAUUCAUUUCGGAUUAGUGGCAGACGGGUGAGUAACGCGUGAGCAACCUACCUCUUACAAAGGGAUAGCCUCGGGAAACCGGGAUUAAUACCAUAUCACAUUGUGACGAAGCAUUUCGAUGCAAUCAAAGCUACGGCGGUAAGAGAUGGGCUCGCGUCCCAUUAACCGGAUGGUGAGGUAACGGCUCACCAUAGUGACGAUGGGUAACCGGCCUGAGAGGGUGAACGGUCACACUGGAACUGAGACACGGUCCAGACUCCUACGGGAGGCAGCAGUGGGGAAUAUUGCACAAUGGAGGGAACUCUGAUGCAGCGACGCCGCGUGAGUGAUGAAGGAAUUCGUUUCGUAAAACUCUGUUCUAUGGGAAGAAAAGGACUGUACCAUAGGAGAAAGCUCCGGCUAAAUACGUG